This 465-nucleotide ribosomal RNA is filed under the name uncultured bacterium. RNAcentral describes it as "bacterial SSU rRNA". It matches the Rfam family "Bacterial small subunit ribosomal RNA", at positions 9 to 519 of the family's 1533-position model. The record is from RNAcentral.
GAGUUUGAUCUUGGCUCAGAGCGAACGCUGGCGGCAGGCUUAACACAUGCAAGUCGAGCGGGCGUAGCAAUACGUCAGCGGCAGACGGGUGAGUAACGCGUGGGAACAUACCUUUUGGUUCGGAACAACCCAGGGAAACUUGGGCUAAUACCGGAUAAGCCCUUACGGGGAAAGAUUUAUCGCCGAAAGAUUGGCCCGCGUCUGAUUAGCUAGUUGGUGAGGUAACGGCUCACCAAGGCGACGAUCAGUAGCUAGUCUGAGAGGAUGAUCAGCCACAUUGGGAUUGAGACACGGCCCAAACUCCUACGGGAGGCAGCAGUGGGGAAUAUUGGACAAUGGGCGCAAGCCUGAUCCAGCCAUGCCGCGUGAGUGAUGAAGGCCCUAGGGUUGUAAAGCUCUUUUGUGCGGGAAGAUAAUGACGGUACCGCAAGAAUAAGCCCGGCUAACUUCGUGCCAGCAGCCGCA